This 610-nucleotide ribosomal RNA is filed under the name uncultured Gammaproteobacteria bacterium. RNAcentral describes it as "bacterial SSU rRNA". It matches the Rfam family "Bacterial small subunit ribosomal RNA", at positions 66 to 667 of the family's 1533-position model. Lineage: Bacteria; Pseudomonadati; Pseudomonadota; Gammaproteobacteria. The record is from RNAcentral.
ACGGAAACGAUGGGAGCUUGCUCCCAGGCGUCGAGUGGCGGACGGGUGAGUAAUACUUAGGAAUCUGCCCAAUAGUGGGGGACAACUCGGGGAAACUCGAGCUAAUACCGCAUACGCCCUACGGGGGAAAGCGGGGGAUCUUCGGACCUCGCGCUAUUGGAUGAGCCUAAGUCGGAUUAGCUUGUUGGUGGGGUAAAGGCCUACCAAGGCGACGAUCCGUAGCUGGUCUGAGAGGAUGAUCAGCCACACUGGGACUGAGACACGGUCCAGACUCCUACGGGAGGCAGCAGUAGGGAAUAUUGGACAAUGGGCGAAAGCCUGAUCCAGCAAUGCCGCGUGUGUGAAGAAGGCCUGCGGGUUGUAAAGCACUUUCAGUAGAGAAGAAAAGCUUAGGGAUAAUACUCCUGGGUCUUGACGUAACCUACAGAAGAAGCACCGGCUAACUCCGUGCCAGCAGCCGCGGUAAUACGGAGGGUGCGAGCGUUAAUCGGAAUUACUGGGCGUAAAGCGCGCGUAGGCGGCUUGGUAAGUCGGAUGUGAAAGCCCUGGGCUUAACCUGGGAACUGCAUUCGAUACUGCUGAGCUAGAGUAUGGUAGAGGGAAGUGGAAU